RNAcentral lists this ribosomal RNA (497 nucleotides) under uncultured bacterium. RNAcentral's name for it is "partial 16S ribosomal RNA". It matches the Rfam family "Bacterial small subunit ribosomal RNA", at positions 28 to 507 of the family's 1533-position model. The record is from RNAcentral.
GAUGAACGCUGGCGGCGUGCCUAAUACAUGCAAGUCGAGCGAACAGACGAGGAGCUUGCUCCUCUGACGUUAGCGGCGGACGGGUGAGUAACACGUGGAUAACCUACCUAUAAGACUGGGAUAACUUCGGGAAACCGGAGCUAAUACCGGAUAACAUUUUGAACCGCAUGGUUCAAAAGUGAAAGACGGUCUUGCUGUCACUUAUAGAUGGAUCCGCGCCGCAUUAGCUAGUUGGUAAGGUAACGGCUUACCAAGGCAACGAUGCGUAGCCGACCUGAGAGGGUGAUCGGCCACACUGGAACUGAGACACGGUCCAGACUCCUACGGGAGGCAGCAGUAGGGAAUCUUCCGCAAUGGGCGAAAGCCUGACGGAGCAACGCCGCGUGAGUGAUGAAGGUCUUCGGAUCGUAAAACUCUGUUAUUAGGGAAGAACAAAUGUGUAAGUAACUAUGCACGUCUUGACGGUACCUAAUCAGAAAGCCACGGCUAACUACGUG